This is a long non-coding RNA of Osmerus eperlanus (European smelt), 687 nucleotides long. RefSeq lists it as uncharacterized. Lineage: Eukaryota; Metazoa; Chordata; Actinopteri; Osmeriformes; Osmeridae. The transcript is spliced from 3 exons. The record is from RefSeq and is a predicted model, not a curated record.
ACAAUACAGAGAGGUAGCACAUUACCAGCUGUCAACAAAUGCACCGUCUGCUGUUCCAUGUACCACUGUCCGUUCUGUACCACGACUUCUUACAAACCCUCAAAGAGAAGUAAAUUACAGAAUCAUCUUCAGCGUCACUUAUCAAGAGCCAUCGUCCAUGACGAUUAUACAAUACACCAGUGCGGACUAGGUUGCAGGACAAAAUUACACUACCAUUGUGUAUAUUGUUCUUUAAUGAUAUACCGACAGCAGAUCUUUGUGGCCCAUCUCAAAGUAUGUAAGAUCCGCAAUCUGCCCUUAACUGCCAGUGUAUCAACCACCCUUCUUGAAGUGCCACCCUUGACUGCCAGUGUAUCAACCACCUUUCCUGAAGUGCCACCCUUCACUGCCAACAGGAGUGAAGAGGUGGACGCAAGUCCAGUAGAGCAGAGUCACAUGGGAGCCUUCCAGCCUUCCAGAUCAGUCCUUCCUUCAUUGGAUCCCCCCUCGGAUGACUCACCCGAGAUCGCCCGCGUAGUCACAAGGACUUCCUCUUCCUCCGACCCUAUAGCCCCCUCCUCUCCCUCAACAUCUCACCCAGACUCAUUCUCAGACCUCCCUCCGCCCCCCCCAUACCCCUCCUCCUCCUCUAUCCCCCCACACUCUUCCUCGUUCCCGGCCUUCCCCUCUUCAUCAUCCUCUCCCCUU